Molecule: ribosomal RNA, 187 nt
Filed under: Limosilactobacillus reuteri
Lineage: Bacteria; Bacillati; Bacillota; Bacilli; Lactobacillales; Lactobacillaceae
Description: Lactobacillus reuteri partial 16S ribosomal RNA
Rfam family: Bacterial small subunit ribosomal RNA
Source: RNAcentral
UAUUUUAUAUGAGAGUUUGAUCCUGGCUCAGGAUGAACGCCGGCGGUGUGCCUAAUACAUGCAAGUCGUACGCACUGGCCCAACUGAUUGAUGGUGCUUGCACCUGAUUGACGAUGGAUCACCAGUGAGUGGCGGACGGGUGAGUAACACGUAGGUAACCUGCCUCGGAGCGGGGGAUCACAGCUGG